This 263-nucleotide unclassified non-coding RNA is filed under the name Hevea brasiliensis (rubber tree). The record is from RNAcentral. Lineage: Eukaryota; Viridiplantae; Streptophyta; Magnoliopsida; Malpighiales; Euphorbiaceae.
GGUGGCAUGCUUGGCAGGUGCAACCCCAAUGUAAUCAACCAGAGAGAUGUCAUUCACCUGAACAUCAUCAAAGGUCCACCUAUUGAACAGCUUCACAUCGUGAUGAGGCUGGGUCAGCUCCUGGUUUACCACAUCAACUUCGACAGCCAUUAUUCCGUAGUAGGCCGCCGAGCAAAGGAGGAAAGUGGAAGGGUGAGGAAGACGAAUAGUAAUCGGCUGCAAGCGGAGGAAUGUGUUUGUAUUUAGCCCUAGAAAAAAAAUGG